This 427-nucleotide ribosomal RNA is filed under the name uncultured bacterium. Its description in RNAcentral is "partial 16S ribosomal RNA". It matches the Rfam family "Bacterial small subunit ribosomal RNA", at positions 355 to 774 of the family's 1533-position model. The record is from RNAcentral.
UGGGGAAUAUUGCACAAUGGGCGCAAGCCUGAUGCAGCCAUGCCGCGUGUAUGAAGAAGGCCUUCGGGUUGUAAAGUACUUUCAGCGGGGAGGAAGGCGAUAAGGUUAAUAACCUUGUCGAUUGACGUUACCCGCAGAAGAAGCACCGGCUAACUCCGUACCAGCAGCCGCGGUAAUACGGAGGGUGCAAGCGUUAAUCGGAAUUACUGGGCGUAAAGCGCACGCAGGCGGUCUGUCAAGUCGGAUGUGAAAUCCCCGGGCUCAACCUGGGAACUGCAUUCGAAACUGGCAGGCUAGAGUCUUGUAGAGGGGGGUAGAAUUCCAGGUGUAGCGGUGAAAUGCGUAGAGAUCUGGAGGAAUACCGGUGGCGAAGGCGGCCCCCUGGACAAAGACUGACGCUCAGGUGCGAAAGCGUGGGGAGCAAACA